UGCUCUUUGUGUAGUAUUUUAAAAUGAAGAGUCGGACCUGCCCGGUGACUUAUAGUUAAACGGCCGCGGUACUCUGACCGUGCAAAGGUAGCAUAAUCACUUGCCUUUUAAUUGGAGGCUUGUAUGAAUGGUUUGACGAGAGCUAAGCUGUCUCCUUAGAAAUAUUUAAAAAUUAACUUUUAGGUGAAGAGGCCUAAAUUUGUUUAAGGGACAAGAAGACCCUAUUGAGCUUUAGUGACACUAAUGAAUUAUUGUGUAGUAUUUACUGAAAUUGCAUUUAUUUGUGUAAAUUAAUUUCGUUACUAAUCUUUAGUUGGGGCGACUGAGGAACUGAUUGAGCUUCCUCGAAUUAUUGUUUGUAGUUAGACAGACUAGUUAUGAGGAUCCAGCGUAAUUAAUGCUGAUUAAGGGAAAAAGUUACCAUAGGGAUAACAGCGUAAUCUUUCUGGAGAGUUCUUAUCGAAAGAAGGGUUUGCGACCUCGAUGUUGGACUAAGGUAUCCCGGAGGUGUAGAAGCUUCCGAUGGUUGGUCUGUUCGACCAUUAAAACCUU
Molecule: ribosomal RNA, 552 nt
Filed under: Margarites vorticiferus
Lineage: Eukaryota; Metazoa; Mollusca; Gastropoda; Trochida; Margaritidae
Description: partial 16S ribosomal RNA
Rfam family: Bacterial large subunit ribosomal RNA
Source: RNAcentral